CAGCAGUGGGGGAAUAUUGCACAAUGGGCGCAAGCCUGAUGCAGCCAUGCCGCGUGUAUGAAGAAGGCCUUCGGGUUGUAAAGUACUUUCAGCAGUGAGGAAGGUGGGUAUGUUAAUAGCAUAUUCAUUUGACGUUAGCUGCAGAAGAAGCACCGGCUAACUCCGUGCCAGCAGCCGCGGUAAUACGGAGGGUGCGAGCGUUAAUCGGAAUUACUGGGCGUAAAGCGCAUGCAGGUGGUUUGUUAAGUCAGAUGUGAAAGCCCGGGGCUCAACCUCGGAAUUGCAUUUGAAACUGGCAAACUAGAGUACUGUAGAGGGGGUAGAAUUUCAGGUGUAGCGGUGAAAUGCGUAGAGAUCUGAAGGAAUACCGGUGGCGAAGGCGGCCCCCUGGACAGAUACUGACACUCAGAUGCGAAAGCGUGGGGAGCAAACAGGAUUAGAUACCCUGGUAG
Molecule: ribosomal RNA, 452 nt
Filed under: uncultured bacterium
Lineage: Bacteria
Description: bacterial SSU rRNA
Rfam family: Bacterial small subunit ribosomal RNA
Source: RNAcentral